GUUGUAUGGUUAAGUGACUAAGCGUACACGGUGGAUGCCUUGGCAGUCAGAGGCGAUGAAGGACGUAAUAACUUGCGAUAAGCCCAGAUUAGGUAGUAAUAACCGUUUGAGUCUGGGAUUUCCGAAUGGGGAAACCCACGUGCAUAAGCACGUAUCGUUGCGUGAAUACAUAGCGCAACGAGGCAAACCCGGGGAACUGAAACAUCUAAGUACCCGGAGGAGUAGAAAUCAACCGAGAUUCCGAAAGUAGCGGCGAGCGAAAUUGGAGUAGCCCUUAAGCUUUUAAUGAUGCAGGUGAAGAGUCUGGAAAGUCUCGCGAUACAGGGUGAUAGCCCCGUAACCGACACAUCAUAAUCAGUGAAAUCGAGUAGGGCGGGACACGUGAUAUCCUGUCUGAAUAUGGGGGGACCAUCCUCCAAGGCUAAAUACUACUGACUGACCGAUAGUGAACCAGUACCGUGAGGGAAAGGCGAAAAGAACCCCUGUGAGGGGAGUGAAAUAGAACCUGAAACCGUGUACGUACAAGCAGUAGGAGCAGGCUUGUCCUGUGACUGCGUACCUUUUGUAUAAUGGGUCAGCGACUUAAUUUUAGUAGCAAGGUUAACCGUUUAGGGGAGCCGUAGGGAAACCGAGUCUUAACUGGGCGUACAGUUGCUAGGAUUAGACCCGAAACCAGGUGAUCUAGCCAUGGGCAGGUUGAAGGUUGAGUAACAUCAACUGGAGGACCGAACCGACUAAUGUUGAAAAAUUAGCGGAUGACUUGUGGCUAGGGGUGAAAGGCCAAUCAAACCUGGAGAUAGCUGGUUCUCCCCGAAAGCUAUUUAGGUAGCGCCUCGGACGAAUACUACUGGGGGUAGAGCACUGUUAAGGCUAGGGGGUCAUCCCGACUUACCAACCCUUUGCAAACUCCGAAUACCAGUAAGUACUAUCCGGGAGACACACGGCGGGUGCUAACGUCCGUCGUGGAGAGGGAAACAACCCAGACCGCCAGCUAAGGUCCCAAAGUAUAGCUAAGUGGGAAACGAUGUGGGAAGGCUUAGACAGCUAGGAUGUUGGCUUAGAAGCAGCCAUCAUUUAAAGAAAGCGUAAUAGCUCACUAGUCGAGUCGGCCUGCGCGGAAGAUGUAACGGGGCUAAGCUAUACACCGAAGCUGCGGCUACGUACUUUUGUACGUGGGGUAGGGGAGCGUUCUGUAAGCCGUUGAAGGUGGUCUGUAAGGGCUGCUGGAGGUAUCAGAAGUGCGAAUGCUGACAUGAGUAACGAUAAAGGGGGUGAAAAACCCCCUCGCCGGAAGACCAAGGGUUCCUGUCCAACGUUAAUCGGGGCAGGGUAAGUCGACCCCUAAGGCGAGGCCGAAAGGCGUAGUCGAUGGGAAACGGGUUAAUAUUCCCGUACUUCUUAUAAUUGCGAUGGGGGGACGGAGAAGGCUAGGUGGGCCUGGCGACGGUUGUCCAGGUUCAAGUACGUAGGCGGAAAGUUUAGGUAAAUCCGGACUUUCACUAACGCUGAGAUACGAUGUCGAGCCACUACGGUGGUGAAGUCAUUGAUGCCAUGCUUCCAGGAAAAGCCUCUAAGCUUCAGAUUAUAAGAAAUCGUACCCCAAACCGACACAGGUGGUCGGGUAGAGAAUACCAAGGCGCUUGAGAGAAC
RNAcentral lists this ribosomal RNA (1650 nucleotides) under Vibrio genomosp. F10 str. 9ZD137. RNAcentral describes it as "bacterial LSU rRNA". It matches the Rfam family "Bacterial large subunit ribosomal RNA", at positions 1 to 1699 of the family's 2925-position model. Lineage: Bacteria; Pseudomonadati; Pseudomonadota; Gammaproteobacteria; Vibrionales; Vibrionaceae. The record is from RNAcentral.